Molecule: transfer RNA, 74 nt
Filed under: bacterium
Lineage: Bacteria
Description: tRNA-Met
Rfam family: tRNA
About the family: Transfer RNA (tRNA) molecules are approximately 80 nucleotides in length.
Source: RNAcentral
GCCGGCGUAGCUCAGGUGGUUAGAGCGAAGGACUCAUAAACCUUAGGUCGCAGGUUCGACUCCUGCCGUCGGCA